This 459-nucleotide ribosomal RNA is filed under the name uncultured bacterium. RNAcentral describes it as "partial 16S ribosomal RNA". It matches the Rfam family "Bacterial small subunit ribosomal RNA", at positions 339 to 795 of the family's 1533-position model. The record is from RNAcentral.
CUACGGGCGGCACCAGUAAGGAAUAUUGCGCAAUGGAGGCAACUCUGACGCAGCCAUGCCGCGUGCAGGAAGAAGGCCUUAUGGGUCGUAAACUGCUUUUAUUUAGGAAUAAACCCCCGAACGUGUUCGGGGCUGAAGGUACUAAACGAAUAAGCACCGGCUAACUCCGUGCCAGCAGCCGCGGUAAUACGGAGGGUGCAAGCGUUAUCCGGAUUUAUUGGGUUUAAAGGGUGCGCAGGCGGGCUAUUAAGUCAGUGGUGAAAUCCCGGGGCUCAACUCCGGAACUGCCAUUGAUACUGAUAGUCUUGAGUUUGGUUGAAGUGGGCGGAAUGUAGCAUGUAGAGGUGAAAUGCAUAGAUAUGCUACAGAACACCAAUCGCGAAGGCAGCUCACUAAGCCAAAACUGACGCUCAUGCACGAAAGCGUGGGGAUCAAACAGGAUUAGAUACCCUCGUAGUC